CCUACGGGAGGCAGCAGUGAGGAAUAUUGGUCAAUGGGAGAGAUCCUGAACCAGCCAAGCCGCGUGAGGGAAGACGGCCCUAUGGGUUGUAAACCUCUUUUGUCGGAGAACAAAACCCGGGACGUGUCCCGGACUGCGUGUAUCCGACGAAAAAGCAUCGGCUAACUCCGUGCCAGCAGCCGCGGUAAUACGGAGGAUGCAAGCGUUAUCCGGAUUUAUUGGGUUUAAAGGGUGCGUAGGCGGUCCGUUAAGUCAGCGGUAAAAUUGCGGGGCUCAACCCUGUCGAGCCGUUGAAACUGGCAGACUGGAGUGGGCGAGAAGUACGCGGAAUGCGCGGUGUAGCGGUGAAAUGCAUAGAGAUCGCGCAGAACUCCGAUUGCGAAGGCAGCGUACCGGCGCCAGACUGACGCUGAGGCACGAAAGCGUGGGGAUCGAACAGGAUUAGAUACCCCAGUAGUC
Molecule: ribosomal RNA, 459 nt
Filed under: uncultured bacterium
Lineage: Bacteria
Description: partial 16S ribosomal RNA
Rfam family: Bacterial small subunit ribosomal RNA
Source: RNAcentral